RNAcentral lists this ribosomal RNA (345 nucleotides) under Triticum aestivum (bread wheat). RNAcentral describes it as "partial small subunit ribosomal RNA". The record is from RNAcentral. Lineage: Eukaryota; Viridiplantae; Streptophyta; Magnoliopsida; Poales; Poaceae.
AUGCAUAAGUUGGAUGGGUGGAUGAGAAGCUUACUUUGCUACCCCCUCAGCCACUCCAUGGCCCACAAGUCAGUUCUCGUGGGUGAUUUGAAAUUUGUUGUUUUCAAGCACUUCCGAGCAAAUAAAGGUUUACAGGUUGAGUUUGCUGGGGGUGCUCUACAGUGUGGCGAGUAUAUCACGGUGCGCAAGAUUGGGGAUUCUAACCAAAAGGGGAGCACGGCUUCUCAGCAGUUUGUGGUUGGGAGGACUAGAACAAGAUCCGCGAGCUACUUUAUUCACAAUUCUUCUUGCUUUAGAGGUGAUCCUCAUGGAGCUGCACCAUUGCUGCCACUGACCAGUGAAUAG